Molecule: long non-coding RNA, 1552 nt
Organism: Ailuropoda melanoleuca (giant panda)
Lineage: Eukaryota; Metazoa; Chordata; Mammalia; Carnivora; Ursidae
Exons: 2
Source: RefSeq, a predicted model, not a curated record
ACCUGGGGGCAGAGCCAGGCAGGUGAGGCCCUGGCUGGGGCUGUCCUCCCACCUGCCACGGGGCCUUUGCACAUGCUGCUUCUCCACCAAGAGUGCUGUUUCCAGCACCCCCCACCCCAGCGCUGAGCUGGCUCCUCAUCCUUGCACCCCAGCUCCAGCAUCGCCCCCUCACCUCCAUGAGCGGAUGAGGUGGGGAUGUGCGGUUUUUGAGUCCUGGCUUGGCCACUCCCUAGCAGUGUGACCCCAGGAGCCUGCAUCCAGGGUUGUCUGGCAACAGCUGGGGCUGUAUUUGCCCAGGGCCCGUGCUUCGUUUCUGUACUUGUCGGGUCCCUGAGAUCUCCCCCAGGGCAGGCACCGGCUGCACCCGCACAUCUGCCCGCACCGGUGCCCGAGGGUGGGAUGCCCGGCAGCCCUGCGCAGGAGGCACUCCCACGACCCGUGUCGACGGAGGGGGUCCGCGGUGGGCAGCGCUCACCUGGUGCAGGUCUUACACUCCUCCGUGGGGUAGGCUCCCAGGUGUAGCCUCCGCAGGUGAUCGAUCUUGGGCUGGCCCGGCGCCCUGGCAGAGAGAGGACGUGAGCAGCUCAGGGUCCACGCACACACGUGCGCUCACACACGCACACGGGCACAGACCCCCUCCCCCUGCAGACACAGCGGUGCGGGCAGGCACGGGAGAACCUGUGGGAGGGGACCUGGGGGCCGGGCGUAGAGGUAUUAAAUACGUCUGAACAUUUCUGAACGUUUCCAGAACAACGAAUUUAAAACCUCCCUGUGAACAGGCCCCUCUUUUCUUCAAGUUUUUCCUGAAACCCAAGCACCAACGAAAGCCUGGGAGUUCUCAGGCGGUCCCUCCUGCCGUGAGACAAGAAGGAAGAUGCCAGAAGGUUGCAGAGCCCAACGCUUGAAGCGUUUCACCCGAAGGGAGCCUUAGGAGGCUAACUUUCUUUCUCCGGCUCGUCUGUGUCUUCUGCAAUUCCCACCUAAGGGCCCUCGGUCGCGCUGCAGCGCCCGCACCAUGCCGACCUCCGGCGGACCAGAGCCCACGCGGGAUAUGCUUGAGCUCCACGGUGGCUGAGCCGGAGUCAGAGGCCGGCCCUGCGGCACUCCACGCAGAGGGACGCGGACGUCACACAGAUGACCGAGUGCAGGGAUGGAGAAGGUGGCACGGGAGUCACCGGCCGAGCAAGCACGUCUCCCGGGCCAGCGUCAAGGUCAAGGCCUGAGAGCGGCAGCCGGCGGGGCGCACGCGGAGGCCACGGGGCAGAGGCGGGCACGCACCUGAUGAGGCCGUCCAGCUGCAAGGCGCUGGCGCUGGCGGGCAGCGCGGGAGCCUUGCCGAAGUGCAGGCGUAGGGGCUGCUUGGGCUGCAGGCGGCUGACCAGGCCGUCGCUGACGGGGAGCCAGUCCAGGCUGGGGAUGAGCAGCUGGCUGGGCAGCAGGCAACACUCGUCCACGAGAGCCUCAUCCGGCUCGCUCGCGGGGCCCUCGUCACGGCCUGCGGGAGAGGAGCGCAGGGAUGCGCGGCCGCCGGGGACCAACACAGCCUGACUGG